AACGGUCAUACCAUGCUGAAUAUACAAGUGCUCGUUAGAUCACUGAAGUCAAGCAUCAUUGGGCGCGGUCAGUACCAGGUGGGUGACCACCUGGGAACACCGCGUGCCGUU
Molecule: ribosomal RNA, 111 nt
Filed under: Caerostris extrusa
Lineage: Eukaryota; Metazoa; Arthropoda; Arachnida; Araneae; Araneidae
Source: RNAcentral